UGUAAGCGUAUACCAAAGUUGUUGCAGUUAAAACGCUCGUAGUCGGAAUUUGGCAGUUCCGGAUGUGUGCACGUCGUGUGCGCCCUUCGCGGGGAUUGCUUUUGUGGUCUUGCGUAGGAUGAGGCACUUUUAUUAGUGAACGUCCUCACGCAACCACUUUUUACUGUGAGAAAAUCAGAGUGCUCAAAGCAGGCAUUUGCCGUGAAUGUAUUAGCAUGGAAUAAUAGAAUAGGACUUGGUUCUAUUUUGUUGGUUUGUUGGGACUGAGUAAUGAUUAAGAGGGACAGUUGGGGGCAUUUGUAUUUCGGUGCUAGAGGUGAAAUUCUUAGAUUACCGAAAGACAAACUGCUGCGAAAGCGUCUGCCAAGGAUGUUUUCAUUGA
Molecule: ribosomal RNA, 382 nt
Filed under: uncultured eukaryote
Lineage: Eukaryota
Description: partial 18S ribosomal RNA
Rfam family: Eukaryotic small subunit ribosomal RNA
Source: RNAcentral